AUCGCUUCUCGGCCUAAUGGCUAAGAUCAAGUGUAGUAUCUGUUCUUAUCAGUUUAAUAUCUGAUACGCCUUCCAUAGUGUUGGCUCAUAUAUUAAUCUGAUUUUUGGCUUCGGGUCAAGGGAGCGAGGUUUACCUCACCCUGACCACGGGUUGCCUCGGCGUUGCACUACAGUCGAGCGCGGCCCAUUUUUA
Molecule: small nuclear RNA, 193 nt
Filed under: Clytia hemisphaerica
Lineage: Eukaryota; Metazoa; Cnidaria; Hydrozoa; Leptothecata; Clytiidae
Description: U2 spliceosomal RNA
Rfam family: U2 spliceosomal RNA
About the family: U2 is a small nuclear RNA (snRNA) component of the spliceosome (involved in pre-mRNA splicing).
Source: Rfam by way of RNAcentral